This 251-nucleotide ribosomal RNA is filed under the name uncultured bacterium. Its description in RNAcentral is "partial 16S ribosomal RNA". It matches the Rfam family "Bacterial small subunit ribosomal RNA", at positions 793 to 1055 of the family's 1533-position model. The record is from RNAcentral.
GUCCACGCCGUAACGGUGGCGCUAGGUGUGGUUCCUUCCACGGGAUCUGUGCCGUAGCUAACGCAUUAAGCGCCCGCCUGGGAGUACGGCCGCAAGGCUAAACUCAAGGAAUUGACGGGCCCGCACAAGCGGCGGAGCAUGUGGAUUAAUUCGAUGCAACGCGAAGAACCUUACCUGGGUUUGACAUACACCGGAAACCGUAGAGAUACGGUCCCCUUGUGGUCGGUGUACAGGUGGUGCAUGGCUGUCGU